AUAUUCUGUGAGCAGGAAAGCAGGGGAUCGCAAGACCUUGCGCUGAUUGAGCGGCCGAUAUCAGAUUAGCUAGUUGGUGAGGUAAAGGCUCACCAAGGCGACGAUCUGUAGCGGGUCUGAGAGGAUGAUCCGCCACACUGGAACUGAGACACGGUCCAGACUCCUACGGGAGGCAGCAGUGGGGAAUUUUGGACAAUGGGCGCAAGCCUGAUCCAGCCAUGCCGCGUGCGGGACGAAGGCCUUCGGGUUGUAAACCGCUUUCAGCCGGAAAGAAAUCGCCGUUUUUAAUACAGACGGUGGAUGACGGUACCGGAAGAAGAAGCACCGGCUAACUACGUG
This 339-nucleotide ribosomal RNA is filed under the name uncultured bacterium. RNAcentral's name for it is "bacterial SSU rRNA". It matches the Rfam family "Bacterial small subunit ribosomal RNA", at positions 173 to 507 of the family's 1533-position model. The record is from RNAcentral.